GGCGUGUGAGAUAAAGUUUGACGGUAAAUGCUACUGGGUAGAGACUCACUUGAUUGUGGACUGUAUUAUCGACAUAGCCGAUAUUUUGUUAGAAAUGCUGUUAGAAUAUGUUGUUAAGAAUGCUGAAAUGAUAUAGCCUAUCAGUUGCUUAUUUCAGGAUGAAAACGAACACAUUUCAGGAAAAGAUCACAGUAGGGAAUACUCUCAUCUUCCUAGUAAAUUUCGACAGAAUCAGCUACGAAUUUCAGCUGCAAUCAAGGAAAAUGAUUCAAAUCGAUCAUUUUUGAUUGUUCUCGUCAUACUUUUGAAUCUGGGAUUCGUGGUUAUUUUUAGUCAAUUUUUCUUAUGACGGAACAUAAGGUGAAGAGUUAAAUUUGAUAGCAGAAUCCAGUAUACAAGAAAACGCUGCGUGUGUGUCUAUACUCAAUUCAAUGAUAUCUGAAUUGGAAAAUGUGUCAGAAGAUAUGUAUCCUGUGUGAAAAACGGGCCGCAUAAUUGCAUCGGUGAAAAUAUUGAGAGAAUGGAGUUUCUCUACACUUGAAAGACAAUUCUUUAUAAUUUUAUUUAAUAAAAUAACAGCAACGAAGAUAUGAGAAUCCGUCCUUAUACUCACUCCAGAAUUAACCUUCUAAAACGGAAAACGGGUAUUCGUUUAAAAUAUGCCUAAUUUGCAUGUGUUCACU
Non-coding RNA from Styela clava, 683 nucleotides. The record is from RefSeq and is a predicted model, not a curated record. Lineage: Eukaryota; Metazoa; Chordata; Ascidiacea; Stolidobranchia; Styelidae.